Molecule: transfer RNA, 76 nt
Filed under: Chloroflexota bacterium
Lineage: Bacteria; Bacillati; Chloroflexota
Also listed under: 1 other name
Description: Chloroflexi bacterium tRNA-Phe
Rfam family: tRNA
About the family: Transfer RNA (tRNA) molecules are approximately 80 nucleotides in length.
Source: RNAcentral
GUCGAGGUAGCUCAGCUGGUAGAGCAUUGCCCUGAAAAGGCAAGGGUCGGCGGUUCGAGCCCGCCCCUCGACACCA